CUACCCUUGACAUGUCCUGGAGGCUCCGGAAACGGGGCUGUGCCCGAAAGGGAACGGGAACACAGGUGCUGCAUGGCUGUCGUCAGCUCGUGUCGUGAGAUGUUGGGUUAAGUCCCGCAACGAGCGCAACCCUUGUCAUUAGUUGCUACAUUCAGUUGGGCACUCUAAUGAGACUGCCGGUGACAAACCGGAGGAAGGUGGGGAUGACGUCAAGUCCUCAUGGCCCUUAUGGGUAGGGCUUCACACGUAAUACAAUGGCGCGUACAGAGGGCAGCUAAGCCGCGAGGUAGAGCCAAUCCCUUAAAGCGCGUCGUAGUCCGGAUUGCAGUCUGCAACUCGACUGCAUGAAGUCGGAAUCGCUAGUAAUCGCAGAUCAGCACGCUGCGGUGAAUA
Molecule: ribosomal RNA, 393 nt
Filed under: uncultured beta proteobacterium
Lineage: Bacteria; Pseudomonadati; Pseudomonadota; Betaproteobacteria
Description: bacterial SSU rRNA
Rfam family: Bacterial small subunit ribosomal RNA
Source: RNAcentral